UUUCUUUUAUAGCCUCAGGCAAUUUGAUGUUGUUGUUAUUCAUCUAACUAAUGGAGAGCAAUGACCAAAAGGACAUGUGUUAUAGUUAAAUUUUAGCAAAUGUGUACUAAUGUUGAUUACAGCAGGAGGGUCAAAAAAAAAAAACAACAAAAAAACACACAGACCAGCCCAGGCCUAUGCUUGUCACAAGGAAAACAAACAAAAGUCUGUAAAUCAAAAGGCUUGGUUUGAUUUCCUAACCUUAUAUCAUUUGGGGCACUCUAAGAGUCCAUAAAAGAUUUUUACAGACUGCUAAAAAUGUCCUCCAAAUGUUCAUCUUAAGUUAGUAAUAUAGGUGAGAGUAUUGCUUGUCACCUACUUUGAAUAAAUCAAUGCAGACCUUACCCAGGAAAAAGUUUAGAACUUUCUCCUCAAGCUUAAAAACAGUACUGAUUGCCAGGCAAGGUGGCUCAAGCCUGUAAUCCCAGCACUUUGGGAGGCCGAGGUGGGCGAAUCACCUGAGGUCAGGAGUUUGAGAGCAGCCUGACCAACAUGGUGAAACCCCGUCUCUACUAAAAAUACAAAAAUUAGCCAGGCGUGGAGGUGUGCAAUCCCAGCUACUCGGAAGGCUGAGGCAGGAGAAUCGCUUGAACACGGGAGGCAGAGGUUGCAGUGAGCCGAGAUCGCGCCACUGCACUCCAGCCUGGGUGACAGACUGACUCUGUCUCAAAAAAAUGAAAACAAAAACAAGAGAAACACAGUACUCAUGAAAGCAGCGUUUGACAAUCAGCAGUGUCCGGCUUCCCAGGAUAAGGAAGAUCUGGUGGCGAAAAGGACUUCGGAAGAGCGCGCCUCCGGUGCUAAUCAGCAGAGCGGGGAGAUCAAGAAACCCAGACCUGCACUCUUCCAGGCCCUCUUUCUAGGGCGGCAGAGCCUGGCUGGUGGGGUGGCUGUCAGCUGUCUCCGUGGGAAGACCUUCCAGCCUGGCCAUCAGGGAAAGUGCCGGUGUUGACUUUGCAGAGCAGGACUCUGGAAAGCAGACCGCCUGGGUCCUGAUGGACGUGUGAGCAUCAGAAGGCCAGUGGCUUGUGUCAUCCAGGCUCAGGGUCAGAGGCCGGCGCUGCGUUGCUGGUGAGACUCAGGGACACAGUGAAGCCCUAGCUGUAGCUUGGUGGGUUUCCCUUCAGAAGUCGAAGAGGCUGCCCAUUGGUCCCUCCGGCAGCACUGCCAUCUGGAUGCCAGGUUCAUUAACCUCAGACUUCCACUGACCAGACAGCACUGAGCUUGUCACCAGGGGCAGGAAAAUGUCCUUUGCUUACCUAAUAUUCUCCAUGGCUUUGCAAACAAGCCAUGCUUCACGGUUGGUCUUGAACCUUAGCAUAAUGUUAUCCUGAUUUAUACCCAAGUCCCCACGUUUCCCCUUGAGGAGACUGUACACUUUGGUGCUGUGUGAAGUGAUCCCUAUCUGUGCUGUUUCUAAUCCAUUUGUAAAACCAUUUACAAGCUGAUUGGGGAGGCAAGGUGGUCCAUAAAUGCCUGG
Molecule: long non-coding RNA, 1519 nt
Filed under: Macaca nemestrina (pig-tailed macaque)
Lineage: Eukaryota; Metazoa; Chordata; Mammalia; Primates; Cercopithecidae
Description: lncRNA (ENSMNEG00000045624.1)
Source: RNAcentral